AGCUGUGUGCAGUGGCAGUAUCGUAGCCAAUGAGGUUUAUCUGAGGCACGAUUAUUGCUAAUUGUUUCAUUAUCGUUGAGUGUAAAACAAAAAAUGUACAUCAUUAAAUCUGGAAAAUCUCUAACAUGG
Molecule: small nuclear RNA, 129 nt
Filed under: Chinchilla lanigera (long-tailed chinchilla)
Lineage: Eukaryota; Metazoa; Chordata; Mammalia; Rodentia; Chinchillidae
Description: U4 spliceosomal RNA (ENSCLAG00000020667.1)
Rfam family: U4 spliceosomal RNA
About the family: U4 small nuclear RNA (U4 snRNA) is a component of the major U2-dependent spliceosome. The structure of U4 snRNA from yeast and human has been reported.
Source: Rfam by way of RNAcentral